GACGAACGCUGGCGGCGUGCUUAACACAUGCAGGUCGAACGGAAAGGCCCUGCUUUUGUGGGGUGCUCGAGUGGCGAACGGGUGAGUAACACGUGAGUAACCUGCCCUUGACUUUGGGAUAACUUCAGGAAACUGGGGCUAAUACCGGAUAGGAGCUCCUGCUGCACGGUGGGGGUUGGAAAGUUUCGGCGGUUGGGGAUGGACUCGCGGCUUAUCAGCUUGUUGGUGGGGUAGUGGCUUACCAAGGCUUUGACGGGUAGCCGGCCUGAGAGGGUGACCGGCCACAUUGGGACUGAGAUACGGCCCAGACUCCUACGGGAGGCAGCAGUGGGGAAUAUUGCACAAUGGGCGGAAGCCUGAUGCAGCAACGCCGCGUGCGGGAUGACGGCCUUCGGGUUGUAAACCGCUUUCGCCUGUGACGAAGCGUGAGUGACGGUAAUGGGUAAAGAAGCACCGGCUAACUACGUG
RNAcentral lists this ribosomal RNA (468 nucleotides) under uncultured bacterium. Its description in RNAcentral is "partial 16S ribosomal RNA". It matches the Rfam family "Bacterial small subunit ribosomal RNA", at positions 28 to 507 of the family's 1533-position model. The record is from RNAcentral.